Carassius auratus (goldfish) is the source of this 312-nucleotide long non-coding RNA. RefSeq lists it as uncharacterized. The transcript has 3 exons. Lineage: Eukaryota; Metazoa; Chordata; Actinopteri; Cypriniformes; Cyprinidae. The record is from RefSeq and is a predicted model, not a curated record.
UGCCUCGUUCUGCACAGGCUCAGGUGUGUACUGGUCUCAUCACAUAAAAUAUUCUGCAGGUUUAAUAGUUUUCCACACAGCUGACCUCUGUGUCCCUUUGCAGAAAUCAGGACUAAAUACUGCACUCUUCAUCGGAGAUGAUCGAGCUGGCAGUGCUGACAGAAGCUCGCUGUUCCAGCAUUUUUCUGCUCAAGAACGAGUCCUCCAAAGUCAAUCAGCAAUCAGCUAUCUUCCCUCAGAUAGUCGACUAUGAGGGAAAAACUGUGUCCAUGAUCCUAAAGGACUGCUGCUCAAUCUGAUGGUGGGAAACUG